CUCUUUUAGGCAAGCUAAUUUUAUUUUAACCGAGGGGUUUUGCUUCUUUCGGUUUGCAUUGUAUGUAAAAAAUAAGUUUAUUCUGAUUGUUUUCGGAUUGAAGAAAGUAGUCGUCUUGCAUUGUUUGGGUUUUGUUUCUUGUGACCAUGUUUGAUGCCUUGGAUUCUCAUCUGAAUUGAGGAACCAUAUCAGUGUCUAAAUUGCUCUCAUAAUCGAGAAAUGGAUGGUUCAUGGAUUGCACUGCAAUAUUAAUAGUAACACCUUUACUUCUCGAUCUACAUGUUUGUCUUUAAGAGCAUCUUUUUAUGCGAUCGUCAGACAAUUGUACGAAGAUAAAGUAUUGGAUUGGUGUGGGUGCAAGUUGUGCUGGAGAAAUUAUUUUGCUUAGUGCUUUGGAGCAUCAUCUUUUAAAAAACAUAUGGUAAAGUUAGAGAAAAAUGUUAGUUAUGUGCUUAUAUACUGUAAGGAUGCUUGGGCUGGUAUAUAUAUUUCCACAUAUUGUAUUGGUAGCCACAAACAUUUGUGUUUUA
Long non-coding RNA from Pyrus x bretschneideri (Chinese white pear), 530 nucleotides. RefSeq lists it as uncharacterized. NCBI's taxonomy places the organism in Eukaryota, Viridiplantae, Streptophyta, Magnoliopsida, Rosales, Rosaceae. The transcript is spliced from 2 exons. The record is from RefSeq and is a predicted model, not a curated record.